Molecule: non-coding RNA, 62 nt
Organism: Takifugu rubripes (torafugu)
Lineage: Eukaryota; Metazoa; Chordata; Actinopteri; Tetraodontiformes; Tetraodontidae
Source: Rfam
GUCUUUGGUUAUCUAGCUGUAUGAGUGUUAAUCCUCCAUCAUAAAGCUAGAUAACCGAAAGU